AUUCCUCCAUGGUUAAACAAAUGUGUGUCAGGUAUUCAAUAAAAUUGAAACAAUAAGAUUGUCAAAAGUGUAGACAGUGGUGUCAGUAUAUGAAAGGAAGUUGAUUAGCUUUUUUGUAUAGUUUGUAUAAGUAAGGUGAUAUUGAUUGAUAAGUACAUUAUGAAAAGACCACUUCCAUUGGUUCAGAGUAAUCAGUGACUGAAAUAUGGUGACGGUGGCUUAUGAUGUGAAAGAAAUAAGAAGCAACCACUACACAUUGACUUAUCAUUAUAGAUAUAGACCUUAGAUUGAAGUCAUGUCAGAACAUCAGAUUUCCAACUACAUCAAGUUGACUUCUAAUCUUACGAUUACGAUGUAAAUUUUGAUGAAGAUGAACUCAUACAGAAAUCUUACCGAAGAACAGAAAGUUCUGAAUGGUGAGAAUGAACUGUUUGAAUAUUUAAAUGGUAUGGAAGAAGAGAAAAAUAACGAGGUAGAUCUUAUUGUGAACAGUCUGUGUAUGAAAUCCGUGGACAUGUCAAGCUUGUAAUUGGGCAUUGGCAUGAGCCGCCCUCAGUUCUCGCUAUUAUGAACAGAGUGUUUGCUGAUGGAAAAAGAAACUGGACUUUAGAGUGCGCUACUAGGAACGGGAAAAAGUGAGAACGAUAUUCUAAUGCUCAAGAAAUUUACAGAUCAAUUAUUAUGUUGCUGAUCAAAGCCCAAUGAGGUUUGCUGGUAGACAAAUUUCCAACAUUCAACUGUUUCGACUUCGACAAUAAAGAUACUAGUAGAGAGAAAUUGGCAACCGUAGAUGACACAAACUGUCAAUCAGAUUAAACCAUUGAUGAAGAGUACACGGAAACAACUGCUAUAUUUAAUACAGUUAAUUCUCCAUGAUCCUGAGAUCGUUCACAUUUAAUCCGCAUUUUCCUAUUCACUGUUGGGUUCAACCUUUCGUAUCGCAUUGUGUUUCAUGUACCUUGAUGUAAUUCUAGAUGGUAUGGCAUCAUCAAUUUUUACUUUUAUUCUUUGUUAACCUUAAAUAAUGAUUAAAUAUGUGAUGUGUAAGUUCCCUCGCAAACCAAUAUACACUAUUGCGAAAUUAUGGUCAGUUACUUGAUAGGGCUAUGCAGUCUUUAUUAUCUUUAUUAUUUAUAUUUUGUGAUAAGCAGAUAAAAAAGCAGAUAAGAGAAAAUAACUGAACCUCGAAUAAUAUAACUAUUAUUUUACAGAAUUCUAUGCCACAUUAGGGAGAUUUCACAACCUUACGAAAAUGAUAAGGAAUACGAAUACGUCAGUAUCCUCAUUAUCGUGAUGCGUGCCUAAAAAAGACUUGAAAAUAUGCUGUACAAGCUAAAUAUGAUUCUUGAUUCAUGCAAAAGGCAUGAAUUGCCUACAUUGACAAAUAUGCAACUAUAGGGGGAGGGUUGUCUAAACAUUUGAUGAUAGACGUAACCACAUUCGUUAUCAUUUUUGUAAGCUUGUGGAAACUCCAUAAAAAAAUAAAGCAAAACUAGUUUACCAUGCUGUCAUAAUAUUAUUAUUUCCAUUUAAAGUCAGGCUCCGGAAAACUUUUUUUCUUUUAGGUAUUUUGUUAAGAACUGAUUUUUUUUUUAAAAAGCAUAUUUGAUGAAAAACUUAGAAGCAGUUAAUGAGAUACAUAAUUUUGAAUAUUUAAAAACUGGGGAAAUAUUUAAUACGGAAACACCUAAUCACCUCAAUGGUGUUUUCAACAAGGCCGUAUUACGGCAUUGUACAGGCAAAAAUAGCCUUUUUGCCUUGAAAUCCUUUGAACAAUAGGUAAUUUUCUAUUUAGACAGUUAAGUAAAUUAGGGGGAGCAGCCUGUUUUCCUUAAAAUCCCACGCUCAAUAGGUAAUCUUCUGUUUAUCCUUUUUUGGUAUCCAACAUUACUUUGUAACAUUCUUAAUCCUGAAUAGUCUUUUGUGUCUGCCUUUCCCCUUUUUAGUUAAAAUGGACUCGUUAGUGUAAAAGAUGAUUUCAGUUGCCUUGAAAUUAAACCUUUUUCUAAGUUGAUAAUCCCUAGCGAUAAAUCCUUAGUUUCUAUGCUUUAAAACAGA
Molecule: long non-coding RNA, 2058 nt
Organism: Anneissia japonica
Lineage: Eukaryota; Metazoa; Echinodermata; Crinoidea; Comatulida; Comatulidae
Exons: 4
Source: RefSeq, a predicted model, not a curated record